GAUGAACGCUAGCGGCAGGCCUAAUACAUGCAAGACGAACGGUAAGUUGAGUAGCAAUACUUAGCCAAGAGUGUCGUACGGGUGCGUAACACGUAUGCAACCUACCCUAUACAGGAGGAUAGCCUAGGGAAACCCGGAUUAACCCUUCAUAGUAUUAUUGGAUGGCAUCAUUUGAUAAUUAAAACUGAGGUGGUAUAGGAUGGGCAUGCGUCUGAUUAGUUAGUUGGCGGGGUAAUGGCCCACCAAGACGAUGAUCAGUAGGGGUUCUGAGAGGAAGAUCCCCCACACUGGCACUGAGAUACGGGCCAGACUCCUACGGGAGCAGCAGUAGGAAUAUUGGUCAAUGGAUGCAAGUCUGAACCAGCCAUGCCGCGUGCAGGAAGAAGGCCUUUCUGGGGUUGUAAAGGACUUUUUGUCAGGGAGCAAAAACUUAGAGGUUAAUAACCUUUGAGGUUGAGAGUACCUGAAGAAUAAGCACCGGCUAACUACGUGCCAGCAGCCGCGGUAAUC
RNAcentral lists this ribosomal RNA (510 nucleotides) under uncultured bacterium. RNAcentral describes it as "bacterial SSU rRNA". It matches the Rfam family "Bacterial small subunit ribosomal RNA", at positions 28 to 525 of the family's 1533-position model. The record is from RNAcentral.